RNAcentral lists this small RNA (470 nucleotides) under Pongo abelii (Sumatran orangutan). RNAcentral describes it as "retained intron". The record is from RNAcentral. Lineage: Eukaryota; Metazoa; Chordata; Mammalia; Primates; Hominidae.
AAAAAAACCUUUCUACUUAACAUUGUUUUAACCUCGUACUCUUUAUCCUCUUUCUCUCCAGGCUUCUGAAUUCCCUUCUGAGUUAAUGUCAAAUGACAGCAAAGCACUGUGUGGCUGAAUAAGCGGUGUUCAUGACUUCUUUUUUUUCUUUGCACAACAACAACAACAAAUUCACAGAAUCUUUUAAGUGCUGAACUUAUUUUUCAACCAUUUCACAAGGAGGACAAGUUAAAUGGACCUUUUUAAAAAGAAAAAAAAAUGGAAGGAAAACUAAGAAUGAUCAUCUUCCCAGGGGUGUUCUCUCACUUGGACUGUGAUAUUCGUUAUUUAUGAAAAAGACUUUUAAAUGCCCUUUCUGCAGUUGGAAGGUUUUCUUUAUAUACUAUUCCCACCAUGGGGAGCGAAAACGUUAAAAUCACAAGGAAUUGCCCAAUCUAAGCAGACUUUGCCUUUUUUCAAAGGUGGAGCGU